RNAcentral lists this ribosomal RNA (474 nucleotides) under uncultured Anaerolineaceae bacterium. Its description in RNAcentral is "bacterial SSU rRNA". It matches the Rfam family "Bacterial small subunit ribosomal RNA", at positions 897 to 1382 of the family's 1533-position model. The record is from RNAcentral. Lineage: Bacteria; Bacillati; Chloroflexota; Anaerolineae; Anaerolineales; Anaerolineaceae.
AAACUCAAAUGAAUUGACGGGUCCCCGCACAAGCAGCGGAGCGUGUGGUUUAAUUCGAUGAUACACGAAAACCUUACCCGGGUUUGACAUAUAAGUAGUAGGGAUCUGAAAAGUGACCGACCCUUCGGGGAGCUUAUACAGGUGCUGCAUGGCUGUCGUCAGCUCGUGCCGUGAGGUGUCCGGUUAAGUCCGGUAACGAGCGCAACCCCCACUGUAUGUUACAAGUGUCAUACGGGACUGCCGGUAUCAAGCCGGAGGAAGGUGGGAUGACGUCAAGUCAGCAUGGCCUUUAUAUCCGGGGCUACACACACGCUACAAUGGCCAGUACAAUGGGUUUGCAAGACCGCGAGGUGGAGCCAAUCCUCAAAGCUGGUCUCAGUUCAGAUUGUAGGCUGCAACCCGCCUACAUGAAGUCGGAGUUGCUAGUAACCGCAGGCCAGCCAUACCUGCGGUGAAUUACGGUUCUCGGGGAUU